RNAcentral lists this ribosomal RNA (341 nucleotides) under uncultured Latescibacterota bacterium. RNAcentral's name for it is "bacterial SSU rRNA". It matches the Rfam family "Bacterial small subunit ribosomal RNA", at positions 29 to 351 of the family's 1533-position model. Lineage: Bacteria; Pseudomonadati; Candidatus Latescibacterota. The record is from RNAcentral.
AACGAACGCUGGCGGCGUGGAUUAGGCAUGCAAGUCGAACGCGAAAAGGUCCUUCGGGGCCUGAGUAGAGUGGCAAACGGGUGAGUAACGCGUGGGAAACCUGCCCUUGUGUUGGGGAUAACACUUCCAACGAGGUGCUAAUACCGAAUGUGAUUGCUGGAUCGCAUGUUCCGGCAAUGAAAGGCGGCCUCUGCUUGCAAGCUGUCACACAAGGAUGGUCCCGCGUCCCAUUAGCUAGUUGGUGAGGUAACGGCCCACCAAGGCAUUGAUGGGUAGCCGGCCUUAGCGGGUGUCCGGCCACACUGGGACUGAGAUACGGCCCAGACUCCUACGGGAGGCAG